Molecule: ribosomal RNA, 465 nt
Filed under: uncultured bacterium
Lineage: Bacteria
Description: partial 16S ribosomal RNA
Rfam family: Bacterial small subunit ribosomal RNA
Source: RNAcentral
CCUACGGGAGGCAGCAGUGGGGAAUUUUGCGCAAUGCUCGUAAGAGUGACGCAGCGACGCCGCGUGAAUGACGAAGGCCUUCGGGUCGUAAAGUUCUUUCGACAGGGAAGAAAAUGCCUAUAAGUAACUGUGUAUGUAUUGACGGUACCUGUAUAAGCAGCCCCGGCUAACUCCGGGCCAGCAGCCGCGGUAAUACGGAGGGGGCGAGCGUUGUUCGGAGGGACUGGGCGUAAAGAGCACGUAGGCGGUGUUGUAAGUCAUUAGUCAAAGACUAGAGCUCAACUUUAGUAAGGCUAGUGAUACUAUAAUACUAGAGUAUCAGAGAGGAUUGCAGAAUUCCUGGUGUAGCGGUGAAAUGCGUAGAUAUCAGGAGGAAUACCGUUAGCGAAGGCGGCAAUCUGGCUGGAAACUGACGCUGAGGUGCGAAAGCGUGGGUAGCAAACAGGAUUAGAUACCCCUGUAGUC